GGGUCAGGAGGUUGGUCGUGCCACCGGUACGUACUGGUCUCACUGAUUCCUCCUUCCUGAAGAACCGUAAUGCCAUUAAUUUGGUGUUGCGGGGAAACAGGACUGUUACUUUGAAAAAAUUAGAGUGUUUAAAGCAAGCUAACGCUUGAAUACAUUAGCAUGGAAUAAUGAAAUAGGACGAUCGAUCCUCUUUUGUUGGUUUCUAGGAUUGACGA
This 215-nucleotide ribosomal RNA is filed under the name Glomeromycotina sp. RNAcentral describes it as "partial small subunit ribosomal RNA". The stretch from base 40 to 215 matches the Rfam family "Eukaryotic small subunit ribosomal RNA", at positions 686 to 863 of the family's 1831-position model. Lineage: Eukaryota; Fungi; Glomeromycota. The record is from RNAcentral.